AGCUGCAGGAAUGUGCAGAAUAAUGCGCAAUACCCGCGCCGAAAUUCAGGCCCAGCUUAAAGGGGAGCGGUUAUGGCCAGGGGAGCGGCCAGGGGAGCGGUUAUGGCCAGGGGAGCGGCCAUGGCGAGGGAAGCGGUCAUGGUCAGGGAAGUGGAAGUGGUCACGGAAGCGGACAGGGGAGUGGUUAUGGCCAGGGGAGCGGCCAGGGGAGCGGUUAUGGCCAGGGGAGCGGCCAUGGCGAGGGGAGCGGUCAUGGUCAGGGAAGUGGAAGUGGUCACGGAAGCGGCCAGGGGAGCGGUUACGGCCAGGGGAGCGGCCAGGGGAGCGGGUAUGGCCAGGGAAGCGGAAGCGGCCAGGGGAGCGGGUAUGGCCAGGGAAGCGGAAGCGGCCAGGGGAGCGGUCAGGGAAGCGGUCAUGGUCAGGGGAGCGGAUAUGGUCAGGGGAGCGGUCAGGGGAGCGGCUGUGGUGAAGGAAGUGGUCAGGGAUGUGGUCAUUGAAACGAUCAUGGGAAUUUUGCAUAACACCUACUGGAGAGCUUUUCAAUUCAGUGCUUUAAUCAUAUGGCAUGUUUUCCCUGUCCGCCCCCCCUCAAAUAAAAAGAAAAUUGCUUGAUUGAAGAAUUGGUGUUUGUGUCAUUUGGCCGUUUUCUCACAACUGCUUUCUGGCAUCAGUGCUUUAAGUUCCUCUCCCUGAGACCUGGGCCCUCAUGUAUAAAACUUUUCCGUAGAUUUCAUCCUAAAUGUGUGCAUACGUACAAGUUUUCAAAUUUAUAAAGCCAUGCGUACGUCACAACCUGCGCAAAGUUCCCUUUGUAAUACCCAGUCAGCGGAAGAUUGUGAGUACAUGAAUCUCCCCC
RNAcentral lists this long non-coding RNA (856 nucleotides) under Sinocyclocheilus anshuiensis. Its description in RNAcentral is "lncRNA (ENSSANG00000044372.1)". The record is from RNAcentral. Lineage: Eukaryota; Metazoa; Chordata; Actinopteri; Cypriniformes; Cyprinidae.